GACGAACCGUGCGAACGUUAUUCGGAAUCACUGGGCUUAAAGCGCGUGUAGGCGGGGCGGCACGUCGGUCGCUGAAAGCCCCCGGCUCAACCGGGGAACGGGCGCCGAUACGACCGCCCUCGAGGGACGUAGGGGGACCUGGAACUUCCGGUGGAGCGGUGAAAUGCGUUGAGAUCGGAAGGAACGCCCGUGGCGAAAGCGAGGUCCUGGACGUCUGCUGACGCUGAGACGCGAAAGCCAGGGGAGCGAACGGG
This 254-nucleotide ribosomal RNA is filed under the name uncultured bacterium. RNAcentral's name for it is "partial 16S ribosomal RNA". It matches the Rfam family "Bacterial small subunit ribosomal RNA", at positions 524 to 776 of the family's 1533-position model. The record is from RNAcentral.